This 422-nucleotide ribosomal RNA is filed under the name uncultured eukaryote. Its description in RNAcentral is "bacterial SSU rRNA". It matches the Rfam family "Eukaryotic small subunit ribosomal RNA", at positions 592 to 1018 of the family's 1831-position model. The record is from RNAcentral.
CAAUAGCGUAUAUUAAACUUGUUGUGGUUCAAGAGCUCGUAGUUGGAUUUCUGCUGGGCACGACCGGUCCGCCCUCCGGGUCGGCACCUGGUUCGGCAUUGGCAUUUUCUUGGCUAACGUAGAUGCACUUGACUUUGUGGUGCGGUACCCAGGACUUCCACUUUGAUGGGAUUUUAAAUGUUUCAAGCAGGCAUACGCCUUGAAUACAUCAGCAUGGAAUAGUAAGAUAGGGCCGCGGUUCUAUUUUGUUGGUUCCCAGAGCUGAGGUAAUGCUUAAUAGGGAUAGUUAGGGCAUUCGUAUUCGAUUAUCCCAGGUGGAACCCUUGGAUUUGUCAAAGACGGACUACUGCGAAAGCAUUUGCCAAGGAUGUUUUCAUUGAUCAAGAACGAAAGUUAGGGGAUCGAAGACGAUCAGAUACCGU